This 71-nucleotide transfer RNA is filed under the name Camelus bactrianus (Bactrian camel). It matches the Rfam family "tRNA". From Rfam's summary of the family: Transfer RNA (tRNA) molecules are approximately 80 nucleotides in length. Their secondary structure includes four short double-helical elements and three loops (D, anti-codon, and T loops). RNAcentral also lists the same sequence under 3 other names. The record is from Rfam by way of RNAcentral. Lineage: Eukaryota; Metazoa; Chordata; Mammalia; Artiodactyla; Camelidae.
GAAGGUAUAGCUCAGUGGUAGAGUGUGUGCUUAGCAUGCACGAGGUCCUGGUUCAAUCCCCAGUACCUCCA